Molecule: ribosomal RNA, 490 nt
Filed under: uncultured bacterium
Lineage: Bacteria
Description: partial 16S ribosomal RNA
Rfam family: Bacterial small subunit ribosomal RNA
Source: RNAcentral
AUUGAACGCUGGCGGCAGGCCUAACACAUGCAAGUCGAACGGUAACAGGAAGAAGCUUGCUUCUUUGCUGACGAGUGGCGGACGGGUGAGUAAUGUCUGGGAAACUGCCUGAUGGAGGGGGAUAACUACUGGAAACGGUAGCUAAUACCGCAUAACGUCGCAAGACCAAAGAGGGGGACCUUCGGGCCUCUUGCCAUCGGAUGUGCCCAGAUGGGAUUAGCUAGUAGGUGGGGUAACGGCUCACCUAGGCGACGAUCCCUAGCUGGGCUGAGAGGAUGACCAGCCACACUGGAACUGAGACACGGUCCAGACUCCUACGGGAGGCAGCAGUGGGGAAUAUUGCACAAUGGGCGCAAGCCUGAUGCAGCCAUGCCGCGUGUAUGAAGAAGGCCUUCGGGUUGUAAAGUACUUUCAGCGGGGAGGAAGGGAGUAAAGUUAAUACCUUGGCUCAUUGACGUUACCCGCAGAAGAAGCACCGGCUAACUCCGUG